RNAcentral lists this long non-coding RNA (324 nucleotides) under Ananas comosus (pineapple). Its description in RNAcentral is "long non-coding RNA (ACOM_LNC006194)". The record is from RNAcentral. Lineage: Eukaryota; Viridiplantae; Streptophyta; Magnoliopsida; Poales; Bromeliaceae.
UUGUAUAAGUUUACUUUUGCGAUAGAGACUGAUGAGUCGUUCGGAGUUUAAACCUAAAAAGUACGCUACCGUUUGGUUCGGAGUUAAGAAAAAACUAGUUAUUCCAGGGAUAGGGUUAAGUUCGGAGUUAAGGUUGGGUUAGAUUAUUUUUUGUGUUUGGUUGGGGGUUGGAGUUAGUUCAGGAUUAAAAAAAAUAAUGUUUGAUUGGAGUAGGUGGGAUAAGAAGGAUAAUGUGUAAAAUAGUCUUUUGUUUGAUUUGAGUAGUGGAGUGAGGUGGGGUUAGCUAACCCCACCCCAAUGGGCUAUUUUAGAAUAGCCCAUUUG